This 253-nucleotide ribosomal RNA is filed under the name uncultured bacterium. RNAcentral's name for it is "partial 16S ribosomal RNA". It matches the Rfam family "Bacterial small subunit ribosomal RNA", at positions 524 to 776 of the family's 1533-position model. The record is from RNAcentral.
UACAGAGGGUGCGAGCGUUAAUCGGAAUUAUUGGGCGUAAAGAGCUCGUAGGCGGUUUGUCGCGUCUGCCGUGAAAGUCCGGGGCUCAACUCCGGAUCUGCGGUGGGUACGGGCAGACUAGAGUGAUGUAGGGGAGACUGGAAUUCCUGGUGUAGCGGUGAAAUGCGCAGAUAUCGGGAGGAACACCAAUGGCGAAGGCAGCUCGCUGGGACGUUACUGACGCUGAGACGCGAAAGCGUGGGGAGCGAACAGG